UCAGUCUCAGUCAUUCAAGCUUCAAACGUCUCCCGUCCCCGGAUCACUUCUUCAGUCCCGGAGUUUGAGAAGAUGAUGACGACCGACGCAGCGCACAGGUUGUCGCAGAACCCCGUCGCGCCGACCCGGCGACGCCCUACACGACGGUGCCGUCCUUGAUGGUCGCGUUCUUCUGGAUCACCACGAUCCCGGACCUGAUGUAGUACCCUUCCUCCGGCCUGUCGGCUUCUUGCACCCCCUGACAGAAAUGGCACAAAGUGGCAUGGUUUCAGAGACAGGUGUUGUUUCUUCAAAAUUUUGGUAGUACCAAACUUCAACCCUGAAUGAGAGUAAGUAUCUUACCUCCUUGUUUGAGAUGACCACGUCCCUUCCUAUCCUCGCGUUCAUGUCGAUGAUGCAGUUGCUGCAAUGUGUCCACCCAAAAAGUGUUAAGAGAUAAUGUGUCACUUGCACCGUGUUGUUUCUGAGGUACAGAUCAGUCUCUCUUUACCUGAUCUUUGUGUUCUCCCCGACGCCGAUGGGAACCUUGCCCUCAGACAUCAGCCUCGAGAUCUCGUCCUCGGUCUCGUACGAGUCCGCGCCCAUCAUCAUCGCGUUCUGAGAACGAACAAACACCAUUCGGAAGAGCGACAGCGUUCAGACGCAUGAUGGUUUUUAUAGCUGACAUGCACCACAUGCAUUAAUUCGGUGGUGAAAACCAUACCUUGAGCUCGCUUCCGGAGUUUAGGCGUGAACGAACGCCGAUGAUGGAGUGCUCGAUUUUGCAUUCACGCAAGAAGCAGCCGUGCGAAAUGAUCGCUUCUUUGAUCUGCGCACAAAAGAAUCCGUAUCAGAAUCCGUAUCAGAUGCUUACCGCCGAUGCUUGUAUGGAGUAGUCUGAAUAGCAGGUCCAUUCUAACACGUACCCUGCACUUGUCUGACUUUGUUGGCGGUAAGUACCGAGGCGAAGUGAAGAAGGGGGUUUUUGGAUCAUAAAAUUCAAACUUUGGAGGCUGCAAAAUAAAAAAAUGUGUGAGAGAAGAUUGAGAUUAUGUUACUUGAAGUCUCUCAAUGCAACUUUAUCAUUUACCAGAUGAUUUAAGCCUAACUACUUCUGUGAUAACAUCAAGUCAACUUGGAAGAAACAAAAAUAGAAUGUCACCUGUUCGCAGAGGGCCAUGUUCGCAUCGAAGAAGGAUCUGAUUGUUCCAAUGUCCUCCCAGUAGUCAGUGAAGACAUAUGCCUGACAAAGAUAGUGUCAGAUGAAUGGUCGUGCAAUGCAGAGGAAAUCGUUUCUAUAGACUGCAUUUCAUGCAGUGCUACCUCCCUAGCAGAAACAAUGAAUGAAGCUCACAUAGUAGCUUUACCUGUACAUUGUGAUCAUGCAGAGCUCUCGGGAGGAUUUCAGACCCAAAGUCAUGUAGUUCUGCGUAUCUUGACCUGAGAAUGCCAACGUUAGAAUUCAGGCUGACAGGAGAACCGCAUCGUCACAAGUGCAGGUUCUUACUUUAGAAGGUUCAGCAGAACAUCUCUCUUGAAGACAUAAACUCCCAUCGAAGCAAUGUAUGGAUAUUUAGCAGGGUCGUCUAUGGCGAAAUUGAGAAAACUGGUAUCCACUUUCUGCAAUGAUCAAUGACUUAAAUCUCAGAUACUGCAACUUAUUUAAGAUACUUAUAUCUUUAGGCAUAUAUCUGACACAGUGAGCAAAGACGAGCGCUAACCAUCGCUUCCAGAUCGUCGCCCUUUGGCUUCUCAGAAAACUGGAUCACACGGCCUGAACUGUCGAACUUCACUAGCCCGUACUCAGAUGCCCGGCUUCCAAAACAAAGAAAAGCAGAUCAGGAUGCAGCGUAACUUCACCAAAAGGAAUAUACAUUCAUAAACAGGGAUCUGGGAUGUAGAACAUUAGUUAAUACCUCUCUCCAACAGGGGCACAUGAUAAAGUAAUGUCAGCAUUGUCAUCCACAUGUUUCUGUAAAGGAUGUAUGACACAGCUUGGUCAGCCAGUUCAAAACAGAACAUACACUAGAGCUGGUUAAAGAGAACAUCACAAACCUGCACAAGCUCCAUGUAAUCCAUGCGAUAAAGCUGAUCGCCCGACAAGAUCAAAAUGUGCUCUAUGGAUUUAUGCUUAUAGUAGUCCUGCAGAGGUACACAGAACACAACAAGCAUUACUUUAACACAUGCAGAUCGUACAAGUAUGAGGUGCAAGGAGGGCCAUGUGCUCCUAGAUACUCUUCUCACCUCAAGCACCCAGAUAAAUUUUCUGACGGCAUCCGCUGUUCCGCGGAACCAUCCAGCAGCCUCCCCAGGCAUUUGUGUCGCGGCCAAUACCUAUUUGUUGCAAAAAAGGUGUCUCAGUCAACGUGUGCUGUAGUUGGCUAAAAGCCCAAGACGUCAACAUGAAAAUCAGAAGAAAAGUUAAAGUAUAAAUCAACAUUAAGUUGAGGUCAAUUACCUCAACAGAUCCAUCAGUGAAAUUGAUUCCCCCGCCGAGGUAGGUGCGGUGAAUGUGGCGAUUGAGAGAUGCCGAGUUGAACUGGGUCAUGACGAAUAUCUUGUUGAUGCCACUGUUGAAGCAGUUGCUCAUGGGAAUAUCGAUGAGCCUGUAACAUCCUCCAAUAGGAACCUGAGCAAUGCAACAAAGGGAAAGGAACAAGAUUCAGGCUGGCGAUCCGAAGAUGACUGGACAAGCUACAUGGAUGGUCACUGAUAGCCUUGAGGUUGACAUCAUGUCGGUUAAAGUGGGGGGCAUCAUCGGGACCGGCUACAGAAACCACUGCUGCUAAUAAUGAUUUAACUUGAUCACGAUGCAGAAACCUUGCUACUGAAUGAGCUGUACUUCAACUGGUCCUAUCCAAAUCAAUUAACAUGUGCAGAUAAGAACUGAAAUUUAAAUAAAGCUUCCUCAUUCUUAUCUAUCUAAAACUGGGAAAUUAUCUAGUAGUAGGGAGUACAAACAUAUCUGCAAAUGACAGUUUUAUUUAUUCAUUUCUGCAAUUGAAAUGUACCAACUUGAAACUGGAUAAACGUAGAAAGUUAUAACUAUAGAAGUGGAUGAUGAAUGUGCCAUCUUACAGCAGGUGUGGCCCUUGUGCUUGUGAGCGGGAAGAGCUGAGUCCCGGUGCCGCCGCCGAGUAUGACGGCCGCGACCUCGUUCGGAUCGGCGUAAUUCCUCCGGAAGGACGUCCGGAGAACCUACAGGUGUUUUUAUUUUGCAUCAAAACAUCAGAGACACUAACAUACACAUAUGCUCCACUGCAACCCGAACAUGAUCUGUCUGGGAUGGGAUGGAAAGUUUGAAACUCACAAGGGUGUCGGCCGGGCUGGCGUCGGAGGUGAGCACGCACUGCGCACCGGUGGCGGCGGGGCCCCUGGCGCCGCCGUUGCACAUCCUCCUGGACGCUCUCUCGUGCCUGAUGCUGCUGCUGUCCCCGAUCUUGAGGCGCUCGCAGGCCGAUCCCUCUCUCCUGACUGGGGAAACGCACGCCUUGCCCUCCAGGGGCAGCACGCUGCUGAACUGCAUCGAUGACAUUAGCAGUCCACCUGCAACUGCAACAAGAUGAGAAGUUGAGAACCAUUAGCAAGCAUGGAAUCUUGAGAAAUCCGUUUACUGGCUAGACCAGAUUGGAGAACGGAAGGCAGGUGAGUUUGUCCCCAAAUCACUGAAGAAGUCGCACGAUCGAGCAGAAAGAGCACGGACUUUUUCCCCCUCCUCUUUCAUGGGUCACGGGCGUCUGUAAAAAGGUUGAGUGGCGUAGAACAAUGAUUAUUGGAAAAAAGGACUAGUGGAAGAGUGGGAAAGGUGCCAAGGACUUUGUGACUUUUCAGCCUUGAGGAGAGAGUCGGCACGUGAAUCAGGAGAUGAGAUGAUCCUCUCAUCUUGUGGCUGGUGUUCUUCCUUUGCUGUUCCCUCCUCUUCUGAACUCAAAGGGACGCAAGGCAGAAUAUACCUGAUGAACUUUGCAAGUGGAAACGGAGGCUUGCACACGGAUUUCAAGUGUGAUGCAGUGCAUAGUUUCAUUGACGGGAGCUACUUGACACGGGAAAUGAUUUGAAUAAGGAGAGGUGAUGAUGAAAACGAGCUGGUUGACGCCGAAAUAUUUGAAGGAGUUGAGCAGGCAGGGCGCGCAGGAUCCAAGGAGGACUCACAUUUUUGUCGUUGGGAAGGCAAAAGAAACACUCGGAUCGAAAAAGGGAGGACCUGAAUCACCGGUGUGAGAGCAAGUACAAUAAGGUACAGUCAGCAGGCUGUAAGGAUUAAGAUAAUAUAUUUUUGCUGAGUUGGAUGAGAGAGAAGAGGAGAGAGAAGGGAAGCGGGCUCUUCGUGAAGAGCCAGCUCUAGCACGUGCUCCUAGGUGCUUUGUGAGAAUGAAAGAUGGACCAUAUAUGAUAAAAGUAGUACUAUUUUAUAGCUAACUAUUGUACAAGUUAGCUAUAAGAUGGGCUAUAAGAGUGCUUAUAGCCAGCAGUUGGCUAUACUAUUAACCAUGCUCUGACUGAAUCACUCCUCCUCCUACUAUUCGUGGUCGGCGUCAGUUAAUUCAGACUAGUAGUAGUUGGUUGGAGAAAAGAAAUCAACAUAAUACGAGAGACCGAGGGGCCGUGAUCCUAAAAUUAAGUCGGCAACGAGAUCCGUGCUCCCCCGCCGGCGGCUGGCCCGCGAACCACGCCGCCGGCGCCGCGCGGUGUCAGUCACUCACCUCACGGGCGCGCCCUCACGUCUGACCCAUUACCGCUCACCCCGUGCCCCGCCGGCGUCGGAACGGGGGGCGGCAUUAAAAUGCGCGGCGGAAUCCGGGCGGCGCAUCCGGCAGGGAGGGGCGCCACCUUUCGAUGCCAUUACGCAUCGACGGAACGCAAAUGAAUCAAUCGGCGGCGAGGAAGGGAGUGGGAUGGGAUGGGUUACCUGCCGGGGACGGCGGGGUGAGGGAUCGACGGGGUGGCGACCGGGCAAGCGACGGAUGAAUAUGAACGAAUCAAAUGCAGGGAGGGAGAAGGGGUGGUGGUGGUGGUGGUGGUGAGGGGAGGGGAGAGGAGAGAGAUGGUCCGUGGAGGCGUUGAGUUCGGAGGUGGUGUGUGGUGAUGUGGAGGGCGGGGCAUAUAAAGCGGGCCGAGGCGAUGGCGUCCCUCCCACUGCACUGCAAGAAACGGACGGACGGUGUGGGAGCAGCAGAGCAGAGGAGUGUAGCGUGAAGCGUGAACAAGGAAGGGGUGGUGGCAUGGCAUGGCCCCAACUCUCGUUUUGGCGCUACCCCCCAUGCCUGGCCAUGUGCGAGAGCGAGAGCACCGCCGUCCCCUCCCUUGCCGCUCACGGCUCCGAGGCCCUCCUUUCCGUCCGCCACGCCCACGCUAGCUCCGCCACCGCCGUUGGCCGCCCUCCCUCGCUGCUUUUGUUGCCUUCAGGUCUCGAUUCGAAGCCUGCCUGACCACCCACAACUCGCCGUGGGAAUACCAGGUGCACGAGGGCCAACGGAAUGCUCGGCUCGACAACUGGCCUCAGCUCGCCGCCGCCGUCGUCUUCCUUCUUCCUUUUUGCAGUUCGUUAACGCCGGCGUUCCUUGUGCCUCUCCUCGCACGCACGCACUCGCAACGUGCUGCUGGCCGGAAACCCGCGGCACGUUGGUUGGUUGGUUCGUCGCACCUGGACUGGACUGGACUGGACGGACGGACGGCUACAUUAACGGCACGGCCAUCGUUUGUUUGUUUUGUCAGUUUACCCGUGCACCGGCACCGCUGCCGCCCCGACACAUCACCGGGGGAACCAACGGCGGGAAUCGCUCCCCUCCUCCACCUCCAUACUUCUACUGCCAGCUAUACUAGAGUACACCUACCUAGCUACAGUGCGUGGCGAGGUACUGGACUGGACUGUGGGCCUCGGUCGUAGUACAUGCGAUGCGGUGAAGAAGAGAAGAGAAGAUGGAUCUCUCGCGACGCCGCCACGCAGCGGGGCGUCGUGGCGCGCGGCCAGUUGAGGGAGGGGAGGGGAGAUCCAGGCGCUUGUCAGAACGCGAGCGCCCUCUCCCGUGAUGGCAGCCACAGAUUCAUUCCAGCUGCGUGCGUGCGUGCUGCUCCGUCACGCAGUGCCGCGCGUGUGUCUUCAGUUUUUUCUCCUUAAGGGCAGGGCAUCGUAUGAUCAUCGUUGGUAAAAUUAUUACAUAGAUGAUUUUGAUGACAUGUCACAUAAUAAAAAAAGAAAGAGAAUGAAACCGUAUCAACUUGAAGCAACGGUUCAUGCACAAGCUACUAGGUUAUUUCUUCAACAUUUAGUGGACCCACUUUGUUAUUUUACAUACGGUUAACAUACACUUUGUUGAAGGACUUUGCUGUUGGUUGCUGAUGUGGACACUUAUACUAAGGAUUGAACAUACGAACUGUUGGAGAUGCUCUAAACAAUGUAUACACGUUCCUAUACUCAUCUCACCUCUAUCAAAUAUACUCAUCUCAUCUCUACGAAUACAUUUGUAUGAAUAUAAGGACACGUCCUAUCCUUCUGAGUAUCUUUGAGAGGUUUAUAAUCAGCUCAUUAUAUUAAGAUUGAGAAAGUCAACACAUUAUUAUAUUAUAAAAUUUAAUAAGUUGGUACAUCAUCUUGACAUUGAUAAAUUAACACAUAUGUCUUGGUUGUCGACGAAAAUAUUUCCUCCCACUUAAUCGACACACGAUCUUGAGAUUUGACAAAGCCGACAAAUCAUCUUUAGAUUGAUAAUAUCGUUUGUUGACACUUUCUUAGUCGACGGAAACAUCUCCGUUUAUUGAAUGAACAUUGUCAAGAAGCCUCAGAUAAAUUCAAAAGAUAUGAGCAUGGGUGUUAAGUAUAAGACUUAAAUUCGAUGGAUGGUUCCAACACAAUUAACCUAACCAUCUGAGCUACAAUACUCAUUUCACGUGUGUCUUCACGUCUGGAACCCUGUUUCGUUAUAUGUAAUCGUGGAUACGAUGGAUAUUCCCCUAGCACUCGAGGCCUAGGGUUCCCCUGUCCUCCUGGAAUCGUCGCCGGGGAUUUUCCCGUAGAUCCAAUCGCUCUGCCUGACGAUCAGUCUUGCUCCUGUGCUUCUCACGAUGUCCUAGGGGGGUGGCUCUCCUCUCUCUCCCGGACUCGCUACUGUUUGGUAGAGGGGCUAGGGUUAGCGGAGGGGUUUUCGGUUGUGACCGCGGCAAUGGCGGCUGAAGCGAGUGGAUCACGUGCAAAGGGUGUGGAAGAUCCGGGUGUGUUGCUAGAACGCCUGCAUCUGGAGGAGGAUGAGCGGGAUGACCUUGUCUGGGAGGAUGAGGAGGAAGAUCCAGAUGAGAAACCGAAGUGGCUUGCGCUGGCUAGGGUUCUGACCAACAAGUCUUUCGAGCAAGGGGCCUUGAUUGAUGAUAUGAAAGCGGCAUGGAAUCUAGCAAGGGAUGUGGUAUGGAGAAGGAUAAACUCCAACCUGUUCUCGGUGCAAUCAAUUGUCUGGCAGAUUGGAAUAAGGCGUUGCACCAGGGCCCUGGGACUUCAAGGGGAUGGCUUUGAUCAUAGCGGAAUAUGAUGGUUUCAAGAACCCGGAAUCUGUCAAAUUGGACAAGAUUGAAACUUGGUGUCAGAUCCAUAGGUUGACUAAUAUGAUCCUCAAGAGGGAACAAUUUGUGAGAAAUAUGGCACAACUCAUAGGAGAGGUCAUGAAGGUAUAGAUCGUCCUUCCUAAUGGCUUCAUUGGUGAAUUCAUCAGAGUCACGGUAAAACUUGAUAUGUCCAAGAAACUGACGAGGUUUGUGGGAUUCACAAAAGCGGGUGUGACUGAGUACUAUCAAGUUAAGUUUGGAAAGCUUCCUGUUUUCUGUUUUAUGUGUGGCCUUCUUGGACAUUGGCAUGAGGAAUGUGGCUCGGGAGAGCAUGAUAAGAAGGAUAUGGAGUGGGGCUCCUUUAUUUUGGCAUCCUUGAGAGGUGCGGGUGGAAUAAGGAACUCAGUUAGAGGCAAUUGUUGUGGUUCGGGUCGUGGCUCGGGCGCUGGUGAUGAGGAUGAUGAGGCUGCUGCUGGUGGAAGGAGGGGAGGUCCUGCAAGAACUCGUGGUCGUGGCCUUGGGCAUGUGAGGGACUCUCAAGCUCGGGACUCCCGAGAUCAAUAAGACUGAUGCGGAGCACAUGCAUACUAGCUGGUGUUUCAAAGCAUCUAAUGCACUGUGUGAUCCAGGGGUGGGGAUGAACUCUCGCCUUGAUGGUUCCCCAUAGGAGAUGUGGGAUGACGCACUGAUUGUUCGUAAGAGAGAGCGAGAUGAUUCCCAUACGGUCCCAAAACUAGUUGUAGAGGAGGAUGUGCAAGUAGCUGAAGGUGCCAUUGCUCCCGUAGGGAUUACAACGAAUAGGGUGGACCAGUUUGAGGGCUCGGAUCCACCCAGCAGCUCAGAGAUUGGUACCCCUCAGAAGAAUGUGAAUCGGAAGAAGUUUAAGACGGAUGAUGGUGUGGCCAUUGACAGUACAUCAACUAGUAGAUCGGCGGCCUCCUCGGUGGAGGACCGCCGGAAGCAAUGAAUCUACUAAGUUGGAACCGGGGAGAGGGGGGGGGGGGUUCCCGAACAGUUCUGAUCUUGCGACUUUGGUCAAGUCGCAUUCCCCUCUCUCGUCUUCCUGUGUGAGACUAUACAGUUAGCUAGCAAGAUGAAGGGAUAUUGUUCUAGAUUGGGUUUGAAGGCCUUUGAUGGUGUUGGUGCUAAUGGAAAUAGUGGAGGCUUGGCACUGUAUUGGCAUGAGAAUUUGAAUGUGUAGGUAAAUUUCUCAAAUGCCCGUUGUAUUGAUGCACAUGUACAAGCCAGGCCGGAUGAACAAUCGUGGAGAUUGACUUGUGUGUAUGGUGAACCGAGGGUGAAGGACCGUCAUCUUAUGUGGUCUCUCAUGUCGAACCUUUGUGCAAAUUCAGAUUUACCAUGGUUGGUGGUGGGCGAUUUGAAUGAAUGCAUGUGGGAUUUCGAGCACUUCUCCUUAACAGUGAGAGCACCAUUACAGAUGCAAUCAUUACAAGAUGUCCUGGAGGUGUGCGACUUGGCUGAUCUUGGGUUCAGUGGAGUUCCCUAUACAUUCGAUAAUAAAAGAAGCGGGAAUGCAAACGUAAAAGUUUGUCUAGACAGGGCAGUGGCAAAUCCGGCUUGGAGGAACAUCUUUUUCAAUGCAAUGGUACGCCACCUUACUUCCCCCUGCUCGGAUCAUCUACCUGUUCAUGUGUGUUGUGAUUAUGUUGAUGAUAGACCAGGAAAGCCAAAGCGUAGGCAGUAUGAGAUCAUGUGGGAAAGAGAUCGAGCUCUCCAGGAGCUGAUUGCUAAGGCAUGGCUGGAGGCAGGAGAAAAGACAUCCCUGGGUGACGUGCAUGCGGCUCUAAGGGGUACUAUGCAAAAGCUGUGCAAAUGGAGUAAGGAAAACUUUGACAGUGUAACUCUAGAAAUUGAAAAAUCACGGACACAAUUGGAGGAACUCAUGUUGAUGAAUGCUGAUAGAUGUGAGAGCCAGAAGGUAAGAGAUAAAAUGAACAAGCUACUAUAUAGAGAAGAGUUAAUGUGGAUGCAACGUUCCCGUAUCACUUGGCUCAAGGAAGGGGACUGAAAUACAUUUUUUUUCCCGUCAAAGGCUGUGUGGAGGGCUAGGAAGAAUCAUAUCAAAAAACUCAAAGACUCAAGUUGUCGGGUUUUUACAAGUGAUGAAGCGAUGGGGCGAGCAGCCAUGGACUAUUUUAAAAACAUCUUCUGUGCUGUCCUUUCGGUGGAUCCAAGCCCCAUUGUUAAUCUAGUAGAAGCUGUUAUAGAUGAUAAUAUAAAUGCCUUAUUGUGCACUGAUUUUACUGAUAAGGACAUUUCAGACGCUUUCUUUCAUAUCGGGCCUCUUAAGGCACCGGGCCCGAACGGUUUUCCUGCGCGGUUCUUUUAGAGGAAUUGGGGCACUAUUAAGGAGAGUAUUGUGGCGACAGUCCAGGAGUUUCUUCGGACAGGGGUAAUGCCGGUAGAGGUCAAAAGUACUAAUAUAGUGCUGAUCAUGAAAAUUCAGAACCCUGUUAAUAUUACAUAUUUCCGUCCAAUUAGCCUCUGUAAUGUUAUUUAUAAGGUGGUUUCUAAGUGACUUGUUAACCGCUUGAGGCCGAUGUUGGAUGGGAUUAUUUCUCCAACGCAAAGUGCUUUUAUUCUUGGGUGAAUGAUCACUGAUAACUCUUUGAUUGCUUUUGAGUCUAUUCACCAAAUUAAGCAGGAAAAGGACUCCACAAGGACUUUAUGUGCCUACAAGCUAGAUCUAUCCAAAGCUUAUGAUAGAGUUGAUUGUAAUUACCUUAAGCAAAUGAUGCAAAAGCUUGGCUUCGCUCAUCAGUGGGUUGACUGGAUUAUGUCGUGUGUAACCUCGAUGAGAUAUUCAGUAAAAUUCAAUGGAGCCAUCUCAGAUUCAUUUGCACCGUCAUGUGGACUACAACAAGGUGAUCCAUUAUCAGCAUACUUAUUUCUGUUUGUGGUGAUGGUCUCUCUAUUGUGUUCAACAAGGGUACAGAUUCAACUGAUUUGUCCCCGUUGAAGAUAACUCGACGAGCUCCUGAAAUAUCACUUCUCCUAUUCGUAGAUUACACUCUUUUAUUUUUUUAAGGCCACUGGGCAGCAGGCGAAUACUGUCAAGAAAAUUCUCAAGACUUAUGAGCAAGCUAGUGGUCAAUUGUUGAAUCCGGCAAAGUCCUCUAUUCUUUUUGGAGAAUCUUUUCCGGAGGCUACUAUAGCUGAAGUCAAGGCGUCUUGGGGUGAUCAGUUCUGGAGUUGAGGAGAAGUACUUGGGCGUACCCACUCCGGAUGGCCGGCUUACUAAGGGCAAGCUUCAAAAUCUACAAGAAAAGGUCAGUAAGAGAUUGUCUCCUUUUGAUGGGCACCCAACACAGUCUCGGAAGGAAACUCUCAUAAAGUCUCUAGCCCAAGCAAUCCCUAUCUUCAUUAGGAGUGUGUUCAAGAUACCGCUCAGAGUGUGUGAUGAUUUGAACCGCAUGAUCCGGAAUUAUUUUUGGGGCUCGGAUAAAGGGAAGUGGAAAACUCAUUGGUUUGCUUGGGAGAAACUUUUGCGAGCAAAAGCACAAGGAGGGCUUGGGUCUAGGGAUUUUAGAAUUUUCAACCAAGCAUUGCUUUAAAGGCAAGCUUGGCGUCUCCUAAUUCAUCCUAACAGUCUUUGUGCAAGGUUACUUAAGGCUAAAUAUUAUCCAAAUGGGCGGUUGAAGGACACAGUAUUUUCAAGUAACCCCUCUCAGUCUUGGCAAGGGGUCUGUCAUGGUCUUGAACUUUUGAAGAAAGGGCUUGUGUGGCGCAUAGCAAACAGGCAAAAUGUGAGAAUUGUUGGGGAACGCCGCAUGGGAAACAAAAAAUUUUCUACGCACAUGAAGUCCUAUCAUGGUGAUGAUCAUCUACGAGUGGGAGAACGGAUCUACAUACCCUUUGUAGAUGCAUAGCGGGAAGAGUUUAGAUAACGCGUUUGAUGUAGUGGUACGUCUUCACGAUCCCAAGAACCGUCCCACGAUCCAUCCCGCGAACAGUCCCACGAUCCGUCCCGAUCAAGUACCGAACGGACGACACCUCUGCGUUCAGCACACGUACAGCUCGAUGACGAUCUCCGCUUUCUUGAUCCAGCAAGAGAGACGGGGAGGUAGAUGAGUUCACCGGCAGCCUAACGGUGCUCCGGUGGUGGUGGUGUUGCUGAUCCUGCAGGGCUUCGCCUAAGCUCCGCAGAAAACCGAUCUAGAGGAGAAACAGAGAAGUAGAGGUGUCUAGAUCUGAAUUUUCCCUUGGCAAAAGUUGUCUCAAAUCAGCCCUAGACCACCCGUAUAUAAAGAAGGAGGGGAGGGGAGGAGGCAGCCUCAAACCCUCAAGGUUUGGCCGAAACUGGAGGUGGAGGAGUCCUACUCCAAUCCUACUUGGAGUAGGAUUCCUCCUUUCCACUUGGAACCCCUUUCCACCUUUUCCACCUUUGGGUUUUGCCUCUCAAACCUUAUGGGCCUUAGUGGGAACUUAUUCCAGCCCACCAGGGGCUGGUUUUAUCUCUUCCCACGCCCAUGAGGCCCCUUGGGGCGUGACACUGACGUCAGCUGUGCUUCCCUGGCAAUGGCUCCAGAAAAGGGCUGAUCCUGCAAUCUCUGGCGUUAGCUAGAUGAAUGCUUAUGACAACGAACCUUCUCCUGCAACGGCAUCAGAAUAAUGCUGCUAGCACUCCCCGGCAAUGAAACUGGAAGAUUAUUGUUGAUGGCCCACCAGCGCGUGGGUCCGCAGCAGUUUUUGAGGGUAGAGUAUUCGACCCAAUUUGUAGAUCGCCAGUCAGGAGGUGAGAGUAUACUCUCAAGUAUUAGCAGCUGAAUUUUUCAGAUUCAACCACACCUGAAAGAUUAGUAUCUGCAAGCACAAUAGUAACAGCAAAGUAAUAUGAUAACAACGGUGUCAGAAACGAUCUGUUGACAGCAUACUAUUCCUAACGAUUGUAUCAAUGGCGCCUCUGUUGUCGCGUUGACGGAAGUUGUCAAUUCCUGUCAAUGGCCAGCGAACAAACAGUGUAACGGGUAGUAGCAGUGUAACGAGCAAUAGUAGCGGCAAGGAACAACAGUAGUAACAGCAGCAGAGCAAGACAAGUAACAGCAGUAGCAACAGUAGUAGUAGCAGCAGAGCAAGACAAGUAACAACAGUAGCAAUAGUAGUAGCAGAAGUAGAGCAAGACAAGUAACAGCAGUAGGACAAACUCGUAGGCAAUGGGUCAGUGAUUUGUUUGGAUGAUAUUCAUCAUGCAACAGCUAUAACACGGAGAGAUAUGUGGCUAGCUCCCGUUCGUCAAUGUGAUGUAGGCAUGCAUUCCGUGUGUCGUCAUACGUGCUUAGGGAAAAGAACUUGCAUGACAUCUAUUAUCCAUCCCUCCCGUGGCAGCGGGGUCCAAAAGAAAACUACAGGAUAUUAAGGUUCUCCUUUUAAUAAAGAACUGGACCAACGCAUUAGCACUUGGUGAACACAUGAACUCCUCAAACUAUGAUCAUCACCGGGAGUGGUUCUGGUUAUUGUCACUCCGGGGUUGCCGUAUCAUAACACAUAGUAGGUAACUACAACUUGCAAGAUCGGAUCUAAAACACACAUAUAUUGGUGACAACAUAAUAAUUUCAGAUCUGAAAUCAUGGCACUCGGGCCCUAGUGACAAGUAUUAAGCAUGGCAAAGUAGUAGCAACAUCAAAUCUCAUAACAUAGUGGAUACUAGGGAUCAAUCCCCAUCAAUACUAACUCGAUUACAUAUAGAUCUCAUCCUACUCAUCACCGCCCAGCGAUCCUACGAAUAGAUUACUCACGAACGACGAAGAGCUUCAUGGAAUUGGAGAGGGAAGAAGGUUGAUGAUGACGAUGGUGACGAUUUCCCCUCUCCGGAGCUCAAGACGGACUCCAGAUCUGCCCUCCAGAUGAAGAACAGGUGGUGGCGGCGCCUCCGUAUCAAAAACACGGCGAAAACUUCUAUUUUUAUUUUUUCUGGGACGAAAGACAACUUAUAGAGCUGGAGUUGGGGGCGGCAGGUGCCUGUGGGCCCCACAAGCCUGCCCACCGCCACCAGGGGGGGUGGUGGCGGCGCAGGGGCUUGUGGCCCACUGGUCCACCCCCUGAGGUGGAACUUGGCGCAGAUAUUUUUGAUAUUUUCCAAAACUGCUCCCCGUAAAUUUUCAGGACGUUUGGAGAACUUUGAUUUCUGCACAAAAAUAACACCAAGGCAAUUCUGCUGAAAACAGCGUCACUCCAUGUUAGUUCCAUUCAAAUCAUGCAAAUUAUAGUCCAAAACAAGGGCAAAAGAGUUUGGAAAAGUAGAUACGUUGGAGACGUAUUAGACACCCCUCCCGAUGGUCCCCGACACCCCUCCCGGCACUCCUGGUACACUACCGAUGAGCCCGAAACUUUUCCGGUGACCAAAACAGGACUUCCUAUAUAUCAAUCUUCAUUUCCGGACCAUUCCGGAACUCCUCGUGAUGUCCCGGAUCUCAUCCGGGACUCUGAACAAACUUCGGUCACCAGCACCUAUAACUCAACUAUACCGAAAUGUCACCGAACCUUAAGUGUGCAGACCUUGCGGGUUCGGGAACUAUGUAGACAUGACCUGAGACACCUCUCAGUCAAUAUCCAAUAGCGGGACCUGGAUGCCCAUAUUGGAUCCCACAUAUUCCACGAUAAUCUUAUCGGUUGAACCUCUGUGUCAAGUAUUCAUAUAAUCCCGUACAUCAUUCCCUUUUUCCUUCGGUAUGUUACUUGCCCGAGAUUCGAUCGUCGGUAUCCAAUACCUAUUUCAAUCUCGUUAUCGGCAAUUCUCUUUACUCGUUCCAUAAUACAAGAUCCCGUGGCUAACAACUUAGUCACAUUGCUUGCAAGGCUUGUUUGUGAUGUUGUAUUACCGAGUGGGCCCCGAGAUACCUCCCCGUCACACGGAGUGAAAAAUCCCAGUAUUGAUCCAUGAUAACUCAACUGACAUCUUCGGAGAUACUUGUAGUGCACCUUUAUAAUCACCCAGUUACGUUGUGAUGUUUGAUACACACAAAGUAUUCCUCCGAUGUCAGUGGAUUACAUGAUCUCAUGGUCAUAGGAAUAUAUACUUGACNNNNNNNNNNNNNNNNNNNNNNNNNNNNNNNNNNNNNNNNNNNNNNNNNNNNNNNNNNNNNNNNNNNNNNNNNNNNNNNNNNNNNNNNNNNNNNNNNNNNNNNNNNNNNNNNNNNNNNNNNNNNNNNNNNNNNNNNNNNNNNNNNNNNNNNNNNNNNNNNNNNNNNNNNNNNNNNNNNNNNNNNNNNNNNNNNNNNNNNNNNNNNNNNNNNNNNNNNNNNNNNNNNNNNNNNNNNNNNNNNNNNNNNNNNNNNNNNNNNNNNNNNNNNNNNNNNNNNNNNNNNNNNNNNNNNNNNNNNNNNNNNNNNNNNNNNNNNNNNNNNNNNNNNNNNNNNNNNNNNNNNNNNNNNNNNNNNNNNNNNNNNNNNAUACAAUUAUAGCAUGGACAAUAAACGAUUAUCUUGAACAAGGAAAUAUAAUAAUAACUAAUUUAUUAUUGCCUCUAGGGCAUAUUUCCAACAGUCUCCCACUUCCACUAGAGUCAAUAAUCUAGUUCACAUCACUAUGUGAUUUCUAACGAAUCCAACACCCUUACAGUUCUGGGGUUUGAUCACGUCUUGCUCGUGAGAGAGGUUUUAGUCAACGGUUCUGAACCUUUCAGAUCCGAGUGAGCUUUCAAAUCUUUAUGUCAUCUUAUAGAUGUUGCUACUACGUGCUAUUCGGAAAUAUUCCAAAUAUCCACUCUACUAUACGAAUCCGUUUUACUACUCGUAGUUAUUCGGAUUAGUGUCAAAGCUUGCAUCGACGUAACCUUUUAUGACGAACUCUUUUAACACCUCCAUAAUCGAGAAAAAUUCCUUAGUCCACUAGUUACUAAGGAUAAAUUUUUGACCAUUGUCGAGUAAUCCACUCGUGAAUUACUUUCGUACCCCAUGACAGAUUCAUGGUAGGGCACACAUUAGGUGUGGUACACAGCAUAGCAUACUAUAGAGCCUACGUCUAAAGCAUAGGGGAUGACCUUCGUCCUUUCUCUUUCUUCUGCCGUGGUCGGGCUUUGAGUCUUACUCAAAUUCACACCUUACAACACAGCUAAGAACUCCUUCUUUGCUGAUCUAUUUUGAACUUCUCCAAAAACUUGUCAAGGCGUGCAUUUCAUUGAAAUUUUUAUCAAGCGUCUUGAUCUACCUCUAUAGAUCUUGAUGCUUAAUGUUCAAGUAGCUUAAUCCAGGUUUUCUUUCUAAAAACUCCUUUCAAAACAACCCUAUAUGCUUUCCAGAAAUUCUACAUCAUUUCCGAUCAACAAUAUGUCAACCACAUAUACUCAUCACAAACUUUGUAGUGCUCCCACUCACUUCUUUGGAAAUACAAGUUUCACAUAAACUUCGUAUAAACCCAAAAGCUUUGAUCAUCUCAUCAAAGCGCUUGUUCCAACUCCGAGAUGCUUACUCCAGUCCUUAGAAGGAUCGCUGAAGCUUGCAUACUUGUUAGCAUCCUUAGGAUCGACAAAACCUUCUGGUUGUAUCACAUACAACCUUUCCUCAAGGAAACCGUCAAGGAAACAAUGUUUUGACAUCCAUCUGCAAGAUGCAGCAACUGCUAACAUAGUUCUAACAGACUUUCAGCAUCACUACGAGUGAGAAAGUCUCAUCGUAGUCAACUCCUUGAACUUGUCGGAAACUUCUUUGCGACAAGUGAAGCUUCCUCAUUGGUGACUUUUCACCAUCAUCGUAUGUCUUCCUUUCAAAGAUCCAUCUGUACUCAAUAGUCUCACGACCAUCAAGUAGUUCUUCCAAAGUCCACACCUUGGUUUCAUACAUGGAUCCUCUCUCGGAUUUCAUGGCCUAUAGCCAUUUGUCGGAAUUCGGGCCCACCAUCGCUUCUCCAUAGCUCGUAGGUUCAUUGUUGUUCAACAACAUGACCUCCAAGACAGGUUUAUAGUACCACUCUGUAGCAGUACUCGACCUUGUCGACCUACGAGGUUUGUAGUAACUUGAUCCGAUGCUUAAUGAUCACUCUCAUCAGCUUCCACUUCAAUUGGUGUAGGCACCACAGGAACAACUUCCUGCGCCCUGCUACACACUGGUUGAAGUGAUGGUUCAGUAACCUCAUCAAGUUCCUCCACCCUCCCACUCAAUUCUUUUGAGAGAAACUUUUCCUCGAGAAAGGAACCGUUUCUAGAAACAAACACUUUGCUUCUGGAUCUGAGAUAGGAGAUGUAUCCAACGAUUUUGGAUAUCCGAUGAAGAUGCAUUUAUCUGCUUUGGGUUCGAGCUUAUCAGACUGAAACUUUUCACAUAAAUUUCGCAGCCCCAAACUUUUAAGAAACGACAGCUUAGGUUUCUCCAAACCAUAGUUCAUACGGUGUCAUAUCAAGGGAAAUAGGUGGUGACCUAUUUAAAGUGAAUGCGGUUGUCUCUAAUGCAUAACCCAUAAACGAUAGUGGUAAUUCCAUAAGAGACAUCAUAGUAUGCACCAUAUCUAAUAGGGUGCAGCUACGACGUUCGGACACACCAUCACACCAUAGUGUUCCAGGCGGCAUUAUGUGUGAAACAAUUUUCACAUUGUCUUAAAUGUAUACCAAACUCGUAACUCAGAUAUUCAUCUCUAUGAUCAUAUCGUAGACAUGUUAUCCUCAUGUUACGAUGAUCUUCAACUUCACUCUGAAACUUCUUGAACCUUUCAAUAAUUCAGACAUGUGUUUCAUCAAGCAAAUACGGUAGUAUCCACUCAAAUCUUCUGUGAAGUAAGAACAUAACGAUAUCCACUGCGUGCCUUAGCACUCAUUGGACUGGAUACAUCAAAUGUAUUACUUCCAAUAAGUUACUCUCUUGUUCCAUCUUAAUGGAAAACGAGGCCUUAAGUCAUCUUACCCAUGUGGCAUGAUUUGCAUGUCUCAAGUGAUUCAAAAUCAAGUGAGUCCAAACGAUCCAUCUGCAUGGAGUUUCUUCAUGCGUUUAUACCAAUAGGUAUGGUUUGCAUGUCUCAAACGUUUCAAAAAUGAGUGAGUACAAAGAUCCAUCAGCAUGGAGCUUAUUCAUGCAUUUUAUACCAACAUGACUCAAGUGGCAGUGCCACAAGUAAGUGGUACUAUCAUUACUACUUUGCAUCUUUUGGCAUCAAUAUUAUGAACAUGUGUAUCAUUACGAUCAAGAUUCAAUGAACCGUUUACAUCGGUGUAUGACCAUUGAAGGUAUUAUUCAUGUAAACAGAAUAAAUUUUAUUCUUGGACUUAAAUGAAUAACCGUAUUGCAGUAAACAUGAUCUAACCAUGUUCAUGCUCAACGCAAACACCAAAUAACAAUUAUUUAGGUUCAACACUAAUCCCGAUGGUAGAAGGAGCGUGCGAUGUUGAACAUAUCAACCUUGGAAACACUUUCAACACAUCGUCACCUCGCCUUUAGCUAGUCUCCGUUUAUUCCGUAGCUUUUCAUUUCGAGUUACUAACACUUAGCAACCGAACCGGUAUCUAAUACCCUCGUGCUACUAGGAGUACUAGUAAAGUACACAUCAAUAUCAUGUAUAUCCAAUAUACGUCUGUCGACUUUGCCAGCCUUCUCAUCUACCAAGUAUCUAGGGUAGUUCCGCUUCAGUGACUGUUCCCCUUAUAAUAGAAGCACUCAGUCUCGGGUUUGGGUUCAACCUUGGGUUUCUUCACUAGAGCAGCAACUGGUUUGCCAUUUCAUGAAGUAAUUCCUUCUUGCUCUUGCCCUUCUUGAAACUAGUGGUUUUACUAACCAUCAACAAUUGAUGCUCCAAUAUGAUUUCUACUUUCGCGGUGUCGAACAUCGCAAAUAGCUCAAGGAUCAUCAUAUCUAUCCUUGAUCUGUUAUAGUUCAUCACUAAGCUCUAGUAGCUUGGUGGCAGUGACUUUGGAGAACUAUGUCAGUCACUAUCUUAUCUGGAAGAUCAACUCCCACUCGAUUCAAGUAAUUGUAGCACUCAGGCGAUCUGAGCACAUGCUCAACAAUUGAGCUUUUCUCCCUUACUUUGUAGACAAAGAAUCUUGUCGAAGGUCUUAUACCUAUCAACAAGGGCACGAGCAUGAAAUCCCAAUUUCAUCUCUUGGAACAUCUCAUAUGUUCUAUGACGUUCAGAACGUCUUUGGCUCCAUAAUUCUAAGCCGUUUAAGCAUUAAGCACUGAACUAUCACGUUGUCAUCAAGAACGUGUAUGUCAGAUGUUCGCAACAUCCACAGACGACGCUCGAGGUUCAGCAUACCGAGUGGUGCAUUAAGGACAUAAGCUUUCUGCGCAGCAAUGAGGACAAUCCUCAGUUUACGAACCCAGUCCGCAUAAUUGGUACUAUCAUCUUUCAACCAAAUUUUCUCUAGGAACAUAUCAACAACAGUAGACCUACAGCGCAAGCUACAACAUAAUUUGCAAAUGCCUUUUGACUACGUUCAUGAUAAUUUUAGUUAAUCAUAUUACUAAUAAACUCCCACUCAAAUAGACAUCUCUCUAGUUAUUCGAGUGGCGCAUGAUCCAAAUUCACUAACUCAAGUCCGAUCAUCAUGUGAGUUGAGUUUAGCUUCAAUGGUGAACAUCUCCAUGUUGAUCAUAUCAACCGUAUGAUUCAUGCUCGACCUUUCGGUCUCCAGUGUUUCGAGGCCAUGUCUGUACAUGCUAGGCUCGUCAAGUUAAACCCGAGUGUUCCGCGUGUGCAACUGUUUUGCACCCGUUGUAUGUGAACGUUGAGUCUAUCACACCCGAUCAUCAUGUGGUGUCUCGAAACGACGAACUGUCGCAAGAGUGCACAGUCGGGGAGAAAACAAUUUAUCUUGAUAAUUGGUGAGAUAUCACCUUAUAAUGCUACCGUCGUUACUAAGCAAAAUAAGGUGCAUAAAAGGAUUAACAUCACAUGCAAAUCAUAAGUGACAUGAUAUGGCCAUGAACUUGUGCUUCUUGAUCUCCAUCAUCAAAGCACCGACAUGAUCUCCAUCGUCACCGGUGCAGCACCAUGAUCUCCAUCAUUGUGCCGCCAUCGUGGUUGUCGUGCUAUCUAUGCUAUUACUACUAAAGCUACUCCUAGCAAAAUAGUAACGCAUCUACAAGCACAAACAUCAGUUUAAAAACAACCCUAUGGCUCCUACCAGUUGCCGUAGCACCGACGUGCAAGUCGAUAUUUAACUAUUACAACAUGAUCAUGUCAUACAUCCAAUAUAUCACAUCAUGUUGUUGGCCAUAUCACAUGAUGAGCAUACCCUGCAAAAACAAGUUAGAUGUCCUCUAAUUUGUUGUUGCAUGUUUUACGUGGCUGCUAUGGAUAUCUAGUAAGAUCGCAUCUUACCUACGCAAAAACCACAACGGUGAUGCAUAAAUUGCUAUUUAACCUUCUCCAAGGACCACCUUGGUCAAAUCCGAUCCAACUAAAGCUGAAGAAACAGGCACCCACCAGUCACCUUGAUGCAAUCUCAUUGCAUGUUAACGGUGAAACCAGUCUCUCAUAAGUGUACGAGUAAUGUCGGUCUGGGCCGCUUCGAUUCAACAAUACCGCGGAACCAAGAGAAGACUAAGGAAGGAAGCAAAAUAAACAUCAACGCCCACAAACUCCUUUGUGUUCUACUUGAGAUAUCAUCUACGCAUGAACCUAGCUCAUGAUGCCACUGUUGGGGAACGCCGCAUGGGAAACAAAAAAUUUCCUACGUGCACGAAGUCCUAUCAUGGUGAUGAUCAUCCACGAGUGGGAGAACGGAUCUACAUACCCUUUGUAGAUGCACAUCAGGAAGCGUUUAGACAACGCGGUUGAUGUAGUGGUACGUCUUCACGAUCCCACGAACCGUCCCACGAUCCAUCCCGCGAACAAUCCCACUAUCCGUCCCGAUCAAGUACCGAACGGACGGCACCUCCACGUUCAACACACGUACAACUCGAUGACGAUAUCCGCCUUCUUGAUCCAGCAAGAGAGACGGGGAGGUAGAUGAGUUCACCGGAAGCCUAACGGCGCUCCGAUGGUGGUGGUGUUGCUGAUCCUGCAGGGCUUCGCCUAAGCUCCGCAGAAAACCGAUCUAGAGGAGAAACGAAGAAGUAGAGGUGUCUAGAUCUGAAUUUGCCCUUGGCAAAAGUUAUCUCAAAUCAGCCCUAGACCACCCGUAUAUAAAGGUGGAGGGGAGGGGAGGAGGCAGCCUCAAACCCUCAAGGUUUGGCCGAAAUUGGAGGUGGAGGAGUCCUACUCCAAUCCUACUUGGAGUAGGAUUCCUCCUUUUCACUUGGAAACCCUUUCCACCUUUUCCACCUUUGGGUUUUUGCCUCUCAAACCUUAUGGGCCUUAGUGGGAACUUAUUCCAGCCCACCAGGGGCUGGUUUUAUCUCUUCCCACGCCCAUGAGGCCCCUUGGGGCGUGACACCCGUCCCGAUGGUCCACCGCACCCCUCCCGACACUCCCGGUACACUACCGAUGAGCCCGAAACUUUUCUGGUGACCAAAACAGGACUUCCUAUAUAUCAAUCUUCGUUUCCGGACCAUUCCAGAACUCCUCGUGAUAUCCGAGAUCUCAUCCGAGACUCUGAACAUACUUCGAUCACCAGCACCUAUAACUCAACUAUACCGAAAUGUCACCGAACCUUGAGUGUGCAGACCUUGCGGGUUCGGCAACUAUGUAGACAUGACCUGAGACACCUCUCAGUCAAUAUCCAAUAGAGGGACCUAGAUGCCCAUAUUGGAUCCCACAUAUUCCACGAUAAUCUUAUCGGUUGAACCUCUAUGUCAAGGAUUCAUAUAAUCCGGUACAUCAUUCCCUUUGUCCUUCGGUAUGUUACUUGUCCGAGAUUCGAUCGUCGGUAUCCAAUACCUAUUUCAAUCUCGUUACCGGCAAGUCUCUUUACUCGUUCCGUAAUACAAGAUCCCGUGUCUAACAACUUAGUCACAUUGCUUGCAAGGCUUGUUUGUGAUGUUGUAUUACCGAGUGGGCCCCGAGAUACCUCUCCGUCACACAGAGUGACAAAUCCCAGUAUUGAUCCAUGCUAACUCAACUAACAUCUUCGGAGAUACCUGUAGUGCACCUUUAUAAUCACCCAGUUACGUUGUGACGUUUGAUACACACAAAGUAUUCCUCCGAUGUCAGUGAAUUACAUGAUCUCAUGGUCGUAGGAAUAUAUACUUGACAUGCAGAACACAGUAGCAACAAAAUAACACGAUCACAUGCUACGUUCAUAUAUUAGGUCUUCGUCCAUCACAUGAUUCUCACAAUGAUGUGAUCCCGUUAUCAAAUGGCAACACUUGUCUAUGGCUAGGAAACCUUAGCCAUCCUUGAUCAACGAGCUAGUCAACUAGAGGCUCACUAGGGACAGUGUUUUGUCUAUGUAUCCACACAUGUAUUUGAGUUUCCAAUCAAUACAAUUAUAGCAUGGAUAAUAAACGAUUAUCUUGAACAAGGAAAUAUAAUAAUAACUAUUUUAUUAUUGCCUCUAGGGCAUAUUUCCAACAAGAAUAUGGCGAGAUCAGUGGCUGAUGCGAGGAAACACUAAUUCAUUGCUUUCGAGUAGAGGUCGGUGUCAUUUGGAAUGGGUGUGUGAACUACUUGAUCACAAUGGUAAUUGGGAUAUGCAGAGGCUACAACAGUUCUUUUUGCCCGUUGACGUUGCACAAAUUUGCAAGAUAAGACCUUUGCCCCGGUUAGGGGAAGACUUUCUUUCAUGGGCGCCAGAACGGAGUGGAAACUUCUCGGUUAAAAGUGCUUACUGGCUUGCUGCAAAUGAAAUGCUUGGAACAUCUAUUACUUCAUUGAGUUCUGCCUAAGAUAGUAGCAGGGACGUGUGGAAGCUUAUUUGGUCUUGUCCGGCUCCGCCAAAGGUUAUGUCGUUUGCCUGACGAGAAGCGACGAAUUCCCUAGCGACAUGGAAGAACAAGAAGCGGAGAACUUUAGAGGAACGAGACACUUGCCCUAUCUGUGGUAGAUAAGUGGAAGACUCGUUUCAUGUCUUGUGUGCAUGUGAUAAGGCACAUCAGUUGUGGAAAGCGAUGGCGCGGGUCUGGGAGCUGCCUAGACUUACUGAUAUAAAACGGCAUGACGACUGGUUUAUCCAUGUGGUGUGUGAAGCCGAUGAACAGCAGCGUGUCCGGUUACUUAUGAUCCUAUGGAGGAUUUGGCAUGUGAGAAAUGAAGUUGUGCAUUCAAAGCCGGCUCCUCCAGUUGAUGCAUCAGUUCGGUUCCUUGCGAGCUAUUAUGAUGCCUUCGCAAUCUUGAGAGCUGAUCGAGACGCUGAUUACGUCAAAGGCAAGAUGGUUCCUGCCCAUUGCUUUCCAUUACUGAGAGAUGUCGGUGUUGUACCGAUAGACAGCUGUAGCCUUUGGAUUCCCCCAAGCGAUGGAAGAUUGAAGUUAAACCAGUGAUGGAUCUGUAUUAAAAGAGAGUGCUGGAAGUGGCAUGGUCUUGCGGGAUCAUGACGACAACAUUAUCUUCAACGCUUGCAGAUUUCUUUAUGAUUGCAACGGCGUGCUUGAGUCUGAGAUCGUGGCUAUCCGGGAGGGUCUCAGGUUGGCGCUGCAAUGGAGCUCUCUGCCUAUAGAUGUUGAGUCUGAUUGUCUUGAGGCUAUUGCAAUGGUAAAGGACGCGGGGCGCAACUUAUCAAGAUAUGCUUUUCUGAUUGGAGAGAUUAAGCAAAGUAUGGGGAACGUGUCUCUUCUAUUACUCAUAUGUGUCGUUCAUGCAUUGUGUUAGUCAUGCUAUGGCUAGUUUUGGUAGAAGGCAGGGCCGAACCAUGGUUUGGCUCGGCUCGGCUCGAGUUGAAGUCUUAUGUAUUGCCUCACGUUGUAGUCACUAAUGAUUGAGUAAUGUAAGACUUAUUUCGCAAAUACAUGUAAUCGCGAAUUAGUGUUAACACCCCAACUGAAACUGUUUACAAUAUAUUUGACAUAUAAAAAUAUUUCUCGCCUCAUUAAAUGUCCACAGGAAUGUUGUGAUAUGUUUGGCUAGUCAGACAAACUUUUAACUGAAACUGUUUACAAUAUAUUUGACAUAUAAAAUAUAUUUCUUGCCUCAUUAAAUGUCCACGGGAAUGUUGUGAUCUGUUUGGUUAAUCGGACAAACUUUUAGCUAUUUGCAUCCGUGACCCUAUUGAGCUUGUUUGAGGGUAUGCAGGCUUUAGGCCAUCUUUUGUACUUCCUUCGUUUUUAAAUAUAAGUCUUUUAAAAGAUUCCACCACAGAUUAUAUAUGAAUGUAUUAGACGUAUUUUAAAGUGUGAAUUUAUUUAUUUUAAUUUGUAUGUAGUCCAUAGUAAAAUAUCUUAAAAGCCUUAUAUUUAGAGACGGAGGAAGUAUAUUGCUUGGCACCCUAAAUUGCAUCAGUGAGCACUUUCAUGCCAACCAUUGGUUGACUGCAAUGUGCUUUACGGGUUUGCACAUGCAAAUCACCAUUGUUUGGCUAUGCGCAAAUGUGUUAAUAUGCUUUACUGGUUGGAAUGGUGAUUCUAAAUGUGUUUUUGUGGUGCUGGUGCAACUAUUACUAUUUGUUUUUGUGCUUGCUUUGUAGCCAAAUUUCUAUGGAGUGUUUUGCAAUGUACAUUUGGUUAAAUUAUGCUCACGUGGAUGUUAAGAACAAUUUCAUUCCAUGGCUCUCUCCUUUUGACCAUAUUAAGAAAAGGAAUAUUUGUGUGGGUAUUUUUGCAUUGAUGUGAUCUAUUUGAACUUGCAGGAAUGACAUUUGCUUUGAUCGUAAGACAACUAUUGAUCCUUUUGGGAUUAUGUAUAAAACUUGCUACUUUAUCGAUGUCGGCCUAUUUUACAAGCAAACAAUGGAAGUCAACGUUGGGGCGAUUUCUAGAACGGGUAGCAAGUGAUUUCUACAAUGCAUCAAGAGAAUUGAAUCCUAGAUUACUGAGACUAACUGGUGGUUGAUGAUUACAUACUUAGUGAAGCUGAUGUUGCUCUUCUUGUUGCUUCCUUUUAUAGAUUAGUUUUGUUCUUACUCAGUUUCUGCUUAUAAGCACUUUGUAUUUUGGCUUCGGUUUCCUGCUUGAACCUGCUUGUGCUACCGUGGCACUAUAAUUCGGCAGGAAUGAUGCCGAUACAAAGGUGUUAGAUGGGCGAAACAUUUACACAUGGACACAAAAAUGCCCUCUGAGGUUUGUGAGUUUGUAAAAUAUCCACCUUGGUGCUUCUCGGCCUGACGUGUUUCAUCAUUAAAUCGUCAUGGAGGUCCUCGACCCAGCCCACCUAGUCGGGAGAUGACAUGGAGCAUCCCCUAGUCGAGGACAUCAUCACCUAGCAAGGGGACCUUUUCUGUUAAAAAUCUCUUCUUCAGUUAUGUGAAAAAAGUAGGGAAUUGGGAGAUUGUUAGAUUUUGGGAUGGUGGGUGGAUGAUAAACCACUCAAACAAAAUUUACCUAGAUUAUAUGAUAUAUGAUUUAUUAAGAAUAUUAGACUCGGUGCUGUGUUGAACAAAAGCGGGAACAAUUUAAGUUCAGCAGAACUUUAUGGGGUGAUACACUAACACAAUGGAACGAGAUACAAGGUUGUGCUCACAUUAAAUUGAAAGAUGAAAAAGACACUUUAAUGUGGUCCUGGCUACUAAUGCAAAAUAUUUUGUGAAAUCAUAUUAUAACCAACUCAUGAUUAAUGGGUUGAAUUUUCCUUUCAAAUUUCUUUGGAGAAUUAAAAUUCCUCCGAAGAUCAUUUUUUUUGUAUGGCUUGGUGUUAGAAACGGUGUGUUUACUAAAGAUAAUUUGCAUAAAAUGGGUUAGAAUGGUGAUUCUAAAUAUGUUUUUGUGGUGCUGAUGAAUCUAUUGAUCAUUUGUUUUUGCACUGUUGAGUAGCCGAAUUUUUAUGGAGUUUCUUCAAAAAUUCAGAAAAAAACUAUUCUUAGAAUUAUAAAAAUGCACCAACCUUACAAAUCAAACAAGUAAUGCAGAGGAAAAAAAUCACCGGAUUCUAAUUCUCAUAAAGUCAUUGUAACCAAACAUACAAACCCUUAAAGCAUCUCGAGCUGUUCGGCCCCCAGGGGCGUGAAAUAGCACCGCCUGGGGGCAUGCCGGGGAAAUAAAAUCGGCCGGGGGAGGGGGGGGGCUCAGGUUCUCAGUCGGGUCCCCAAAGGUCGCCCCAACUGUUUUAAAAAAAACUCGACCCAAAUUCGGCCAAAACCGACUCAAAUUCGAAGAAAGUUCAUAGUUUUUCAUUGAAAUUUAUACAUAAGUGAAAUAAAAACAUAAUUAAACUACGUAGCCGCCGCCCUUCGCUGCCGCUCGAUGUCACCGCCUUCUACAUAUCGAGAAGCUUCUAGAAAUUGGUGUAGUCACCAUCGUCGUUGUCCUACGCUCUGUCGCAGUCCUUGCUGCACCCCUGCCCUGUGUCGCUGUGGCGAACAUUGUUGGAAGGCACUGACGCCUCCUUGUCGCUGUCAUCGAGGAUGACGAGGGUGCCCUCCUUGCGGCCGCGGCGCCGGGCGGCGAUCUCCUCAAGGGCGCGACGCUGGCGCUCCGUCUCCUCCCGGAGGUAGUCAUCUCACGCCCAUUUAAGGGCGGUCUCGUCAUCGGCGGCCAUGUUCAGGUGCUCCUGCUUGACGGGGAGGAGUCCCGGCUCUGUAUUCGGCUUGACGAGGCGGGAGGAGGCGUCGGGCCCGUUGAUGAUGAUGCCGUUGCUGCGCGUGCGCCGCCCUAGCAGUGUCUCUCGCAGCUCCGGCUUGACAGGGAGGAGCGUCGGUGACCCAGAGGAGCGGGAGCCGAACGAGGAGGAUGACGCCGCCUCCAUCCGCCUCGGCGUUCAGGAGUUGCUGCAACAUCGGGAAAAGGCGGGUGGCGGUGGGUACUCGUACCACGACGAUUUUCCGCUCUCGAUGUGCUCGAGGGCAACCUUCAAUGAGCGGUCGGGGACGCCCCACCAUUCGGCGCCCCUCGGAGUUGUGGUGGCCGCGUGGUUCGACCCCGUUGGUGGCGGCGAGCUGGUCGGCGUGCCGGCGUUCGAAGUACGCCGUCCACAGCGUGUUGUUAUCGGGGGCGUACCUCGGCAGGUUGCGCAAGCUCUCCGGCAGCGACGACCGGAUGCGCGCGAUCUCCGCCCGCCGGUCAGGUCUAGAGGGCGGCGGUGGCACCGGGACUCCGUCGGCGCUCAACCUCCAUGAUCCCCGCACCCGCAUGUCUGGUGGCGCCGGGUAGUCCGCCUCGUAGAGAAGGCGGGCCUCGUCCUCAUGAAGGUGACGGUGGCCGAAGCCAUUGGCUGCGGCUCCGUUGUCGGGGAAGCGUUCGAUCAUUUUUGGGAAGAAAGAGGGAGAGGAGGCACCGUUGACGAAGAAGGAGAGGAGAGGGCGUCGAGGACGAGAUUUUGGCGAGAGGGUUGUGUGGCCACCGAUGGGGAGAGUGUUGGAAAUAUGCCCUAGAGGCAAUAAUAAAAUGGUUAUUAUCAUAUUUCCUUGUUCAUGAUAAUCGUCUAUUGUUCAUGCUAUAAUUGUAUUAACAGGAAACAGUAAUACAUGUGUGAAUAAAUAGAUCACAAUGUGUCCCUAGCAAGCCUCUAGUUGGCUAGCUCGUUAGUCAAUAGAUGAUCAUGGUUUCCUGAUCAUGGGCAUUAGAUGUCAUUGAUAACGGGAUCACAUCAUUGGGAGAAUGAUGUGAUGGACAAGACCCAAUCCUAAGCAUAGCACUAGAUCGUAUUGUUCGUAUGCUAAAGCUUUUCUAAUGUCAAGUAUCUUUUCCUUCGACCGUGAGAUUGUGCAACUCCCGGAUACCGUAGGAUUGCUUUGGGUGUAUCAAACGUCACAACGUAACUGGGUGAAUACAAAGGUGCACUACGGGUAUCUCUGAAAGUGUCUGUUGGGUUGGUACGAAUCAAGAUCGGAAUUUGUCACUCCGUGUGACGGAGAGGUAUCUCUGGGCCCACUCGGUAGAACAUCAUCAUGAGCUCAAUGUGACUAAGGAGUUAGUCACACGAUGACGUGCUACGGAACGAGUAAAGAGACUUACCGGUAACGAGAUUGAACAAGGUAUUGGUAUACCGACGAUCGAAUCUCGGGCAAGUUCUAUACCGACAGAAAAAGGGAAUCGUAUACAUGAUUGAUUGAAUCCUUGACAUCGUGGUUCAUCCGAUGAGAUCAUCGUGGAGCAAGUGGGAGCCACCAUGGGUAUCCAGACCCCGCUGAUGGUUAUUGGCCGGAGAGGCGUCUCGGUCAUGUCUGCCUGUCUCCCGAACCCGUAGGGUCUACACACUUAAGGUUCGGUGACGCUAGGGUUAUAGGGAAUUGUUAUACGAGGUUACCGAAAGUUGUUCGGAGUCCCGGAUGAGAUCCCGGAUGCCACGAGGAGCUCCGGAAUGGUCCGGAGGUAAAGAUUGAUAUACAGGACGGAUGAUUUCGGAUACCGGAAGUGUUUCGGGCAUCACCGGUAACGUACCGGGACCACCGGAGGUGGCCCCGGGGGACCACCGAAGGGGGGCAACGACCCCGGGAGGUAAGAUGGGCCAAGUGGGGGUGGGAACCAGCCCCUAGGUGGGCUGGUGCGCCUCCCCACUCAGCCCAAUGCGCAGGGGAGAGAAAAGGGGGGGGGACCCUAAGCCAGGUGGGCCUAAGGCCCACCAGGUGGUGCGCCACCCCCUCCUCCCCCCUCUGGCCGCCGCACCUCCCAUCUGGGGGGGCUGCCGCACCACCUAGGGUGGGAACCCUAGGGGUGGCACCCCUCUCCCCUUCCCCUAUAUAUAUCGGGCACUUUUGGCCAUUGAGAGAGAGGCUUUUCCCUCUCCCUCGACGCAGCCGUGCCCUUCUUCCUCCUCCUCUCUCCCGGUGCUUGGCGAAGCCCUGCCGGGAGACCUCGUCUCUCCAUCGACACCACGCCAUCGUGCUGCUGGAGUUCUUCCCCAACCUCUCCCUCCUCCUUGCUGGAUCAAGGUGCGGGAGACGUCACCGGGCUGCACGUGUGUUGAACGCGGAGGUGUCGUAGUUCGGCACUAGAUCGGAAUCGCUGCGAGUACGACUCCAUCAACCGCGUUCUAGCAACGCUUCCGCUUAGCGAUCUUCAAAGGUAUGAAGAUGCUCUUACCCCUCUCUCGUUGCUGGUCUCUCCAUAGGAAGAUCUGAAUGUGCGUAGGAAAAUUUUGAAUUUAUGCUACGUUACCCAACAGAGAGGACACCUUAUAUAGCUACGGGUGGGCGAGCACGCAGAGCGGCGCCAUGUGAACGUGUGACAGGAACGGACGGAACGUGCGUCGCCGGGACGCGCGUCGCUGCACCUUCAUUGCGCCGUCCGUGAAUCUAUGAAAGGCUGACCGACAGUGCAGCCUUCGCAUUUAUUUGUGUGGGAAACGAGGCAAUGGGACGACGACCGCGCGUGUUAGUUGCUGACUCGGGAGAUCCAGAGUUUUUUCGCGUCAAAAAUGUUUUCACCGGCGCCCCCGGACGAACCUAGCACGCUGAGUUCGGCUUAAUUUCGGUCCUAAUCGACGAAAAACGGACUUGUGAAAAUGCGACUGAACCCUUUUUUUUCUCCCGACGAUGAACUCUUUUUUGGCCGGAAGAGCCUAUUGGGGUGCGGCUAGACAUAUGCUUUUAUCUUAUGCUCGAACCUGCUUGUGCUGCCGCGGCGUUACGAUUCGGCAGGAAAGAUGAUGAUUCAGAGCUGUCAGAUUGGUGAAACAUUUACACAUGACCAGAAAAAUGCGCUCUGAGGGUUGUUAGUUUGGUACUUAAUUUGUACACGUUCAUCAUAAAAAGGGGAAUACCUAAUUAUUCAUUUUCAUUAUUAGCAUUGGAGAGUACUUAUAGCGUCGGAAAAAAGCUGAGAAAGCCAAGAAUGUGCCGUACAUGUACCAAAAUACUUGUAAGGACCAUCGCAAAACUUCAUCCGGCGUGCAAGCUACGAUAAGGGUUGUGUGGGAGCAUGAGGUGCAUGUGGUGGGAGAGACCGAUCACGGAAGGAUUUACCCAUGCGCGCGUACGUAUCCUCUCCUCUGUUCAUCGUCUACAUCUCUAAGGACAACUCCAACGGAUCGAUCCAAAUUAACAGUGAUUUCAUCCGUUUAGGUCGGCCACGCGGACAUAAACGUCCGCUUCCACAAAUGGGUCGGCUCGCGCGUCCAACGCUGAUCGGACCCAUUUUUUGCCGGCGAGAAAAAAAAGGCGGAGCACAAUAGAUACCUGCAACCUCGGUAGCCACCAAGUGCCCGCUCCCUAGGGUUCGUCCCACCCUCCCCCAGUCGUCGGCGCCGCUGUUGGCCUUCCUAGGGCCCCCGCCGCCGCCGGUCGUCCCCGCCCCCUCCCCAUAUCCCCCUCCCAGAUCCGCCCCAUGCCGUCUCCCCGGGAGGUGGCCGGGGCGGCGUGAGCCCCUCCCCUCUUCGGCCUCCCUCCAUCCCGUUCCCUCCCUGCCGCCGCCGAUGGUCGCCCCUGACUCUUGACCGGGUGGUGUUGGUGGCGGCGGGAGUGCCUGUCCCCUCGCGGGCGGCUCCCUGCCCGGGGCAUGGGGGCGGCGGUGGUGCUCCUCGGCUCGGAGACGGUCCGGCGACCCGGCAGCAGUGGCCGGCGGCGCAUGAGGUGGUGGUGUUGCCCUUUGGCGAUGAGAUGGCGUGGUGACGCAGGUUGGCCGGCGACGCGCCCCCGGCCCAGAUCGGGGCCCUGUGGGCCCUAUCUGUGUCCUAGAGGGCCGGCUCCCGGCGUGGCUUCAUCGUCGUCUAUGUGGUCAGGAGGAGGAGCAGCUCGGACGGGGGGCGACGACGCCGAUGGCGCGCCUGCUGCAGUGCGAUGGUGGGAGCUUUACGGGCGUGGAGGGCCUGGCCGGGCCUGUGGGCCCACGGGCCUGGUAUGCUCCUGCUAUUGUGCCCGUCGGCUACCGUCGUCGACGGUGGAGGUUGUACCCUCCCGCGUGCCGACGGUGCUGUGGUCCCUAGUCCCGGCUCCUAUUCCCCGUUGUGCAUGCCUCACUUCAUGAUGCCGUGGUGAGACGGUGUGGAGGCUUCAUCACCGCGGUGGCGCAAGAUGGUGGGCGGUUUGGUGGCAGGCUCUGGAGCAUCCGAGGUGAAGGUUGGGAUCGGGGGAAACCCCUGUCGGCCUGGCCGACACCGACGCGGCGAUGCCGGCAGGUGCCGCCGGACCUUCCUGGAGGGCGUCGGGAGCGACCCUUCCUCUUGCCUCGUCACGUACCGGGGAAAACCCUUGGCAGCAGCGUCGUCAUCGUCGCGGUCCUUCUUGGAGGUGUUGAUUGGUACCGAUGCUUCGGAGCCUUGGAGCUUGGUGGGAGAUCUUCGGUGGGCGCAGUGGUCGUGAAGCGUCUUCGUUUCCAUCGAUCCGCCGUUGUCGGCAUUUUUCUCUUGUCGUUUCUCUUUCGUUUCUUUUGGGUGUGAUCGUGCUGCUUCCGCCCCAGCACCUACUUGAUUGUAAUCUGGAUGAUGUAUGAUGUACUUUAUCUAUAAAGUGGGGCAAAAACUUGUUUCGAAAGAAAAAAGAGAGGCAUAAUACAUAAUUAAACAUUAAAGCCGGCCACGAGGGCCGACGAUAGUCCAUGCAUCGCUCGCAUUACACUAAAUAAAAAUAAAAACACUAGAACUGCAUGCAUGCAGCCCUAGGCGUCCUCGUCGUCGUCGUCGUCGGGACCGAUGAGGUCGACCAUGGUAGGCGGAGGGCCGGCCCAGGGAAACGCCAUGUUUCAUAGCGCUGCGGCCUGCUUCUCCGUCGAGUGUGGAGGUGGCGGUGGCAGCGCAGCAGCACGGAGGCGUUCCUCCUCCUCCGCCUUCGGGCGUUGGUCCUCCCUACCUUAGCCGCGGGCCUUCUUCGCGCUCCUCAAAAUACUUGUAAGGACCAUCGCAAAAGGAGAAACACUUGUAGAGAAACUUCAUCCGGCGUCCAAGCUACGGCAAGGGCUGUGUGGGAGCACGAGGUGCAUGUCGUGGGAGAAGGAUUUACACAUGCGCGCGUACGUAUCCUCUCCCCUGUUCAUCGUCUAUAGCUCUAAGCGAUGGUACACCUGUGACUGAGUAAUAGUAAUAACCAAAUACUCGUAACAGAGAAUUACCGCCGUAGUUUCGACCGUGAAGUUGUGUUGGGUGCCUGUGCCUGUGGCAGUCAGUGAUCUGACGACUCCAGCGCUAGCCGUGGAGCUACUGCCAGGUCGCGCCCGUACGAGCCGGAGCCGGAGCCGGCAGCCAUGCGUGUAUCUCGUCAUCCACACGUCGUGACUCACCGCACACGCGGCGUUCUCCUCGCCCUGGUCAGGGGCGACGGAAGCUCCGCCCCGCGCUUGUUGGCUGACGGUGAAACGUUCAACGUGCACGAAGCGCGCUGGUUACCUGUGCCUGUGCCUGUGCCGGUGCCGGUCAACAUCACCGUCCGAGUCGCCCCGCACUGCGUGGAGUUCGACGCUGGGAGGGGGAACAGCAACACACCCUAGUCUCCUAGGAUGUGUUUGGCCGGAGGAUCAUUUUGGAGCAUCUACAGUUUAAUAAACUUAUAAAUCUGGCCCAUAUCCAUUUUGAACCUUAUUACAAUGUUGCUUCAUUUAAAUAAAAUGGGGCAGGGAGGAGGAAAACCCUUUCAUCCAAAAAAUAAAAUAAAAAAUUAAAUCUUAUUUUUUCAUAUGUGCAACCAUACUUUUUAUAUUUUUUCCUCAUAUGUCCGACCACUUGCAUGUAAUUGGUGAAGAAGAAGAAGAGAAAGAAAGAAAAGAAUGAAUAAAGAAGGAGAAAAUAUGGCUGAGGGUGGGGGUCGCGUCUUACAUGGCGCGCCCGGAAGCCAUCAUAUCAUCCAUAUUUGAGAUGGUUAUGAGGGGUGUCGGUCAGUCCGGGUGUUUGAGAUGAGUAUGAGGGGUCUGGCUGGAUCGAUUUUUUGUGACCGGUCACGGAGCGGGCUGUGUGGCGUUUGAGGCGGAUUUAAGAGGUCCGGCCGCAGAUUCUCUUAUAGUUGUUUUCUUUGAUAUAUACUAUUGAGUAAAUGCAUUCACGGUGUGUUUGCUAAGGUGUAUAUAACUGAACCAGGCCCGUAAGGGAUGAAAAAUGCUCGUUUGGUUCCGUGUAAGGUGGUAUAUGUCGCACGUGCACCAUACUUAAAACAUCCUAUAGCCUGGAUUGAUGGAAACGCUUGAAUUGGAAAUUUCGGUGAGACAGACCGAAUCGGGCGCAUAAACUGAUCCCAACAUAGGGCGCGGUGCAUGGGGGAUUCAGACAGAGAUGGCAAGAGACGAAAAUCAAGGGAGACGGAAUGACGUGAAAUAUACCAUCCGCCCUUCCCCAAUUUACUCGCUCACCCGUGGCUCUAGGACAAGCCCUUCUUCUGUUCUUGGCACCGAUGGCGGUGGCGAGUCAAAUCUACGGUUGCAGUGUUGGUGGCAGCUGCUUUUCCCCUUCUUCUUCGUCACCGUCCAACCAUCCUCGUCUUAGUCAUGCCCCCGACCCUGAAGCUGGUAAGCACUCUCCCAUUUCAUUGUUGAACGUACCAUGGAUGUCGCUUAGGUUGUGGAUACACCCAUGAAGUUUGUAGUUCAGGUAGCAUCGCUGAUAGUUGUAGCUCAGACCUGGAUUCUGUUGAUCCAUAAGUGAGUUGUUCAUCGGAAUGAAAAGCCUCUCAUCCGUUAUGAUCCGAUUUUAAUUCCGGACCGGGAGAGGAUAUUGAAUUUGAGCUACAUCUACAACUACAAGGAGACAUAGGCUCUGUGGAUGCUUCGAAUGAGAAGAGUGCUUUUCGCAAGGCUUGUGUAGACGUUUAGACGCACGUGGUCGCUACAAGAUAGCAUCCACAUACACCACGGUGGAAAAGCAAAUAGACAUGUUCCUCCAUGUUGUUGGUCAUAACCAGAGGUUCAGGGUUAUGCAGAACGCAUUCAGGAGAUCAAUGGAGACCAUUUUCACAUACUCCAGGCAAGUGUUUUAUGCUUUGGGGGAACUCACCGGAUAGAUGAUUCGCACACCAACUGCCCGAACUACUAGAAAGAUUCGCACUAGCCCAAGAUGGUAUCCAUAAUUCAAGGUGAGCACUGACAGUAUGUAGUUCAUGCAUUGAUAAGUUGUUAUUGUUCUACGCUAGCCAUAACAUCAUCUUGUAUUGUCAUUUCAGGAUUGCAUUGGGGCAAUUGAUGAUACUCAUGUGACUACCAGAGUGUCGAUAUCACAAUCUACAUCAUACAAAGGGAGGAAGCACUACACAAGUCAGAAUGUGCUAGCUACUCUUGACUUCGAUCCAAAGUUCACAUAUGUGUUGACUCAAUAGGUGCACAUGAUGCUAACAUUCUAACACUAGUAGGAAAAACAUUAUAGGUAGGACCCCGUUAGUAGCACUGGAAUAUAGCAUGCGCUGCUGCUACUUAGGAGUAGCGCUCGAAUUGUAAAAAACACUACUGUUAAACAGGACCCAACGAGCCCACCGAUGGUAGUAGUAGUAGCAGCACACCCUUGUAAAAAGCGCUACUGCUAAGUAGAAUAGCAGUAGCGCUCGGCGAGAAUCAGCACUACUGCUAUUGGGCCCCACUUAGGAGUAGCGCUGCCCUAGAAAAGUGCUACUACUAAUACCAAUAGCAGUAGCACCCUUUGGAAAGCAGCGCUACUGCUACGUGUGGCUGGUGGUAGCUUUUCACCCACACCCCUCUCCCCCCCUUCCUCUCCCCUCCUUUCUCCUCUCCUCUCUCUAAGUUACUUCCCCACCAUUGUUGCCCUUCUUUUCUCUUCCUUAUACCUCUCUUCUCUCCCUAUUAAUGCCCCCUCCACCCUAAUUCUCCUCCAUAAAUGACCUCUUCUAACUUUAUCUUCCACAUUUAUUUGGCUUUUCCCUCCUUCCAUACAUAUAGAUCUAGCUAGAUCAUCUCUCUCCCUCUCCAUUAGUUAGCUAGAGUCAUAUCUCCUCAAAACAACUAGAUCUAGCUACUUAUUUAGCCCUGCACAAUCUCUCUUGGGUUAUAGGUGAGUAAAAAGUUGUGCAUUUCAGUAAUGGGAAUAUGUGUGUUUGCGAUAUGAAGGGAUUUGUGUGAGUGACAUGCCCCGUGAGUUGCUUAUGUUUUGCUUAAAUGUGGAUUUAUUUCCAUUUUGGCGAAUUUCGAGCAAACUCGAUAUGUCCUAUUUUUAGGCAAGGUUAUGCCAAAAUUUUACAUGACUUUGAUGCAUGCAUGUAUUUUGUUUAUAACCCUUUUGCUUGUUAUACUAUGCAACCAUGAAGGUGAGUGGAAGGAAGGUGUGGAGCGAUACUUGCAAUCCACGGUGAUGGACAUUUAUGCAAAUAAAUGAACUGGGAUUAGAUGUCCGUGUACAAGAUGCAAAGAAGGAGUAACUUUGGAUCCUUUUGAUCGUGGCAGUUUGAAGGCCCAUUUGUUGAUCAAUGGUUUCAUGGAUGGCUAUACUCGGUGGAUAAGUGAAGAUAUGAUGAGGACGUCCACAUGGCACAGAAUAAUGACAUGGGACUAGACGAAGAGAUGACUGAUCGACACGAAGACGAUGGCGCCAGACACGGCAGCGGCAAAGAGCCUGGACACGACGGCAGGAAAGAGUCCUAACACGGCGGCGGGGAAGAGUCUAAACGCGGCGGUGGAGAAUAUUCUAGACAUGGCGGGGAAGAGGCGACGGACAUGCCGCAGUCUUUGAUGCUACUAAGUUUAGUCAUGCAUGACCCUCAUGUUCGAGACCUCCUUCGCAAGAGUACGACUAGUGACAAAGUUGCUUCUAGAGAGGAGUCCAAGAUGGCACAACUUGAAGUAGACUCGAAGACUCCAUUAUAUGACGGUUGCGAUCCUGAGGUGACCCGCUUGAGUUUCACGCUCGAACUUCUAAAGACGAAGGCCAAAAACAAAUGGACAAACAAAAGGCUCGAUGAUCAUUUGAAGUAUCUACAUAAUAAAGUUCUUCCCGCGGGGAACGUGUGUCCUAUUAGUGUCGAGGAGGCCAAGAAAAUCGUUUUCCCUCUUGAUCUGCUGCACAUUAGAUACCAUGCUGUUGGAAAUAUGCCCUAGAGGCAAUAAUAAAUUAUUUAUUAUUAUAUUUCCUUGUUCAAGAUAAUCGUUUAUUAUCCAUGCUAUAAUUGUAUUGAUUGGAAACUCAAAUACAUGUGUGGAUACAUAGACAAAACACUGUCCCCAGUGAGCCUCUAGUUGACUAGCUCGUUGAUCAAAGAUAGCUAAGGUUUCCUAGCCAUAGACAAGUGUUGUCACUUGAUAACGGGAUCACAUCAUUAGGAGAAUCAUGUGAUGGACAAAGACCUAUAAUAUGAACGUAGCAUGUGAUCGUGUCAUUUUGUUGCUAUUGUGUUCUGCAUGUCAAGUAUAUAUUUCUAUGACCAUGAGAUCAUGUAAUUCACUAACAUCGGAGGAAUACUUUGUGUGUAUCAAACGUCACAACGUAACUGGGUGACUAUAAAGGUGCACUAUAGGUAUCUCCGAAGAUGUCAGUUGAGUUAGCAUGGAUCAAGACUAGGAUUUGUCACCCCGUGUGACGGAGAGGUAUCUCGGGGCCCACUCGGUAAUACAACAUCACAAACAAGCCUUGCAAGCAAUGUGACUAAAGAGUUAGCCACGGGAUCUUGUAUUACGGAAUGAGUAAAGAGACUUGCCGGUAACGAGAUUGAAAUAGGUAUUGGAUACCGACGAUCGAAUCUCGGGCAAGUAACAUGCCGAAGGACAAAGGGAAUAGUAUACGUGAUUAUAUGAAUCCUUGACAUAGAGGUUCAACCGAUAAUAUUAUCGUGGAAUAUGUAGGAUCCAAUAUGGGCAUCCAGGUCCUGCUAUUGGAUAUUGACUGAGAGGUGUCUCAGGUCAUGUCUACAUAGUUCCCGAACCUGCAAGGUCUGCACACUUAAGGUUCGGUGACUUUUCGGUAUAGUUGAGUUAUAGGUGCUGGUGACCGAAGUUUUGUUCGGAGUCCCGAAUGAGAUCCCGGAUGUCACGAGGAGUUCCGGAAUGGUUGGGAAACAAAGAUUGAUAUAUAGGAAGUGGGUAUUUGGAUUCCGGAAGAUUUUCGGGCACUACCGACAGUGUACCGGGAGUGACGAAUGGGUUCCGGGGGCCCACCAGGUGGGCCCACCACGCCCCAAGGGUUCCACAUGGUAUUAUUGGAUGCGCAAGAAAGGUUAUUGGGCUGACAAGUCGUCCAAGGAAAGCCCAUAAGGAAAAAGGUGGAAAAUCCAAAAGAGGUGGACAAAUUGGGAAGGAGUCAUAAUCCAAGUGGAAUUGGAGGAGGACUCCUCUCCUCCUUGCGCCAAAGAGAGAAAAAAGGGGCAGCCACGUGACAGCCACCUCCCUCCUCGCCUCCUAUAUAUACUAAGGGUUUUUGAGGAUUUUGGACAACAGAUUUUUGCCACGUGCAAACCCGAAACCUCUAGUUCUUCGUUUCACCUCUAGAUUAGAUUUCUGCGGAGCUCGGGCAGAGCCCUGCAGGAAUAGAUCGACACCACCACCACCCGGGGAGCUGUCACGCUGCUGGGGUCUCUACUUCCUCUUCGUUUCUCUUGCUGGAUCAAGAAGCCGGAGAUCGUCAUCGAGCUGUACAUGUGCUGAACGCGAAGGUGUCGUCCGUUCGGUACUUGAUCGGGACAUAUCGUGGGACGGUUCGUGGGCUGACCAUGAAGACAUACCACUACAUCAACCGCGUUGUCUAACGCUUUCCGUUGUGCAUCUACAAAGGGUAUGUAGAUCCGUUCUCCCUCUCAUAGAUGAUCAUCACCAUGAUAGGACUUCGUGUGCGUAGGAAUUUUUUUGUUUCCAAUGCAACGUUCCUGUCACGCCCAAGAUGCGACCCUAUCCUCAAUUUGGCACGAAGGCCUCGUCAGGGAUAGAAGCGCAUCUCGUCGUGUCGCAAGAAUGGAUAUCGUUACAAGUACAUGUACUAACAAGAAGAGAUAUAUAAAGAGUUGGCUUACACUCGCCACAAGCUACAUCAGAGUCACAUCAGUACAUUACAUAAUCAUCAAGAGUAAGAGCAGGGUCCGACUACGGACGAAAAUAAAUGACAAAAUAAGAACGACGUCCAUCCUUGCUAUCCCAGGCUGCCGGCCUGGAACCCAUCCUAGAUCGAUGAAGAAGAAGAAGAAGAAGCAAUUCCAAAUGAACAAUCAACGCGCUCGCGGCACGUAACCUUUACCUGUACUUGCAACUGGUGUUGUAGUAAUCUGUGAGCCACAGGGGACUCCGCAAUCUAAUUUCCAAAGGUAUCAAGACUAGCAAAGCUUAAUGGGUCAGGCAUGGUUAAGUGGUGGGGUUGCAGCAGCGGCUAAGCAUAUAUUUGGUGGCUAAACUUACGAGUACAAGAAAUAAGAGGGGGAAGAUCUACGCAUAACGGACGUGAACUACUGAUGAUCAAAUGAAUGAUCCUGAACACCUACCUACAUCAGACAUAACCCCACCGUGUCCUCGAUCGGAGAAAGAACUCACGAAAGAGACAGUCACGGUUACACACACAGUUGGCAAGUUUUAAUUAAGUUAACUUCAAGUUAUCUAGAACCAGUGUUAAACAAAGUUUCCACAUUGCCACAUAACCGCGGGCACGGUUUUCGAAAGAUUUAACCCUGCAGGGGUGCUCCAACUAGUCCAUCACAAAUUACCACAAGCCGCAUAGAAAUCCUCAAUCACGAAGCUCGCGAUCUCGUCAGAUUCCCAAGUGGAAAACCUCAACUCUGAGAUUACCCAAAGCAUGACCGGAAUCCCGUUGCACAAGAUAUCUCGUCAAAGGUAAAACUAAUCCAGCAAGGCCGCCCGACGUGUCGACGAUCCCGAUAGGAGUCGCGUACCUCGUUCUCAGGACACGACGGAUGGGUCACACUAGGAGAUACCAAACCUCAGGUUGCCCCGCGAUGGCCUCGUAGUCUGCCAAUUUGGACCAACACUCAUGAGGAGCACUGGCCCGGGGGUUGAUUAAAUUAUCCUCGGGGUCCGGAAAGUCCCUAUGCAAUUUUAUUAGGUGUUUAGGCAAAUGUAGUACCAAAGUUGGGCCUUGCCAGACCAGCUUUAAACUAAAACGAAUUAUCAAGGGGGUCCCCAUAACAACCCCGAUUGUGUUAGGAGCGCUCAAUUAUGGAACAUAACACCGGUAGCCGGAAACUAAGGGGGCAAAGGUGGAACAAAACACCAGGCUAGAAAGGCCGAGCCUUCCACCUUUUACCAAGUAUAUAGGUGCAUUAAGUUAAGUAGCAUUUCAAUAUGGUGAUAUAACAAGGAACCCGUGCUUUCACAUGGAAGCAAUGCACCUGCAACUAGCAACGCUAACACAGGGUUAAGCAAGCGGUAACAUGGCCAAUCAGUGGUUUGCUAGGUCGAACAGGUUGAAGGUCAACAUGGCAUGGUUGAGAGGCUGAUAUUUAACAUGUGGUAGGCAACGAGACAUAAACGGUAGCAACGGUAAAACUAGCAUGGCAAAGAUAGUAAUGGUAUCUGGGGAAAUGAUCAUCUUGCCUGAGAUCCCGCUUGGAAGAAGAACAACUCCGUGAAGCAGACGAACCGACGUAGUCGAACGGGUCCUCACAAUCCGGCACGCUGCGGAACUCUAUCGAGACGAAGCAAACCGAAAACACAAAUCAACACACGGAAUUCGCCCUANNNNNNNNNNNNNNNNNNNNNNNNNNNNNNNNNNNNNNNNNNNNNNNNNNNNNNNNNNNNNNNNNNNNNNNNNNNNNNNNNNNNNNNNNNNNNNNNNNNNAUAUAAAAAAUCUAGCUCCAGCAAUUUAGUGCAUGUCUCUGACUAUGGUUUUAAGAACUAAUUGCAACAAAAAUUGUAUUUGUAAAGAAUUGUAUUUCCUGAAGCCCAGUGGAUGUGUGGCACGCCUCCUUGAUUCUAGAUUGUCCCUCCAUUUUGGAAAUUAAUUCCGAAAUGUUGAGAGGCAACCUUUUGUGAUACAAAGCUCAAUAAAUAGAGGGUGGGGGUAGUAUCCAAGAACUAGGUAGAUUGUGUGUUGAGCACAAGUGAUGACUUUUAGGGGGGGGGGGGGGGGGGGGAGGAGGGGGGGGAUGAUAUCCAAGAACUAGGUGGUUUGUGUUUUAAGCACAGGCGAUAAGUUGUAAGUGAGAUUAUGUCAAUGCAAAUAAACGCUUCACAUCGAAUGUAUAGGAUUUAUGUUAAUUUGACACCAAACAGCAAACACAUGUGUACUUAAUAUAUAGAACUAGGAUCGAACAGACAUUUACGGUCUGAGGCUAUGCUAAUUUUACACCAGUGCAACAAUUAUGCUCCCUCCCUUAGCCUACGAUGAGAUUUGANNNNNNNNNNNNNNNNNNNNNNNNNNNNNNNNNNNNNNNNNNNNNNNNNNNNNNNNNNNNNNNNNNNNNNNNNNNNNNNNNNNNNNNNNNNNNNNNNNNNUAUACAUUAACAGUUCUUCGAUUCCAUGGGGUGUGGAAGCCUAAGAUCCACUGGAAGGGCAUAAAUGGAAUGCAACCGAGGGAAGCAGCGUAUACAUUAACAGUUCUUCGAUUCCAUGGGGUGUGGAAGCCUAAGAUCCACUGGAAGGGCAUAAAUGGAAUGAUAAGUGGGUUCAUAAACAGAAAACGCUACGCUUCCCUGUCGAAUCAAAUUGUCACCCAACCCAACUUGGGCCUAUCUUCUCUGGCCUUCAGGGCGUCGGAUUCUGACAGCCACGGCCAAGAAUAUAUGCUACAUCUACCUGCAAAAGCACAAAUAAUAGGAAGAUUCUUAAUCUUGGCGUGCAGCAGCGACAACAAAAUCAUUAUCAGGUCAGGGCUGUCCACGCCUCCACGGUGAUACAUGCUACCUGAUUUUUUGAUCAAAAACAGUUGUAGCAACUAGCAAGCAGGCUUGAGAUUGAGAAGAAGCAUAUAUAUAUUCUCCCAAAAGUUUGCGGCGCCGGCCACUAGCUGCAUCCUGCAUAUCUGUAAAUAUACAACUUGCACAUGUUAGAACCUUCAGCAGCUCCAACGGAGCUGGUCAAAGGCGNNNNNNNNNNNNNNNNNNNNNNNNNNNNNNNNNNNNNNNNNNNNNNNNNNNNNNNNNNNNNNNNNNNNNNNNNNNNNNNNNNNNNNNNNNNNNNNNNNNNUCCCCCCCUAGAAUCGUCCCUGCCGCGGACGCAUCCCUCCUCUCCAUUUUUGGCUAAGCCGAUGUCCAGAUGAAUCUUCGAUAUUCCCACUCCUGGAGACCUCCAAGUUUGGAAGGGGUGGUGGAAGUUACUUAUAUGCACCGGCAGAAUUGGGCCCUAGGCAACCAGGUGAAGCAUAGCUAUUUUUUCUUCCUAUUAACUACCAACAUUUCUAUAUUGGCCUGGGGUUAAGCACACCCAACAGUGCCGAACCUCAGCUCCCUUUCUAAUGCACAAACACUCCCGUCACCCAGAUAACGACGUAAAAGGGUGUUUCAACGCGGACCCUCAUUUCUCCCCUAUAUGUCUAGACCUGAUAUCCAGACACUUUUGGACUUCCAACGCUAUUCCUCAAUUGUUCGAGGACCGUACUGGACAUCCAAACUCCCCCACUCCAUGCCAAAUUGAGGGAAGGAACAUGGUAGUUCGGAUGAUCCUCGUGGACCACGUCUCCCCACAACGCACGUCUCUCUACUCAUCUCUUUUUGUUCUCAGUCAAUGUCCUGCCGAUUGUCUAUCACAUUCCGUAGUCCAAAAUAUGAGGGGUACCGUUGUAGAACGUCAGCCGGUUGGCUAUCUGUGGACACGUCCGUGGACAUUUGAGGGCGCUUUUUAAGGAUAGCGGUGAAGGUGUCUAACACUAUAAGACAUCAACACACAUGAUUGGAGUCAUGCAACCAAAUCUUCUACUCCUACAAGUCAGUCGUUGGUGUCGUCUCCCUCGCUCCCCGACUCUUCANNNNNNNNNNNNNNNNNNNNNNNNNNNNNNNNNNNNNNNNNNNNNNNNNNNNNNNNNNNNNNNNNNNNNNNNNNNNNNNNNNNNNNNNNNNNNNNNNNNNUGAUCCGGGGGACGGGAGACGUUUGAAGCUUGAAUGACUGAGACUGAAAGUGAAGGCGCAGCAGAGGCAGGCAGCAUUAGUAGUAAGUAGUAAGUAAGUAGCAGUGGAACAAAGUAAUAGUCGUUCGUUUUUCCCCUGUAAUAAAUAAGAGGCUGUGUGUUGAGGUAAAGAAAGUGGCAGCGAGCAAACAAACUCAAACUCCCGGGGGUUGUUGGUGUAAAUAAAACUCUUUGUCUAGACUUGUGAAAUUUUCAGAGGGUUUUUCCCGCUGCCUCUGUCGACCGACAUUGUCACUUUCGAGUGGUGGUUGCUUUAUCUAUGAAAUGGGGCGAAAGCCUAUUUACCAACUUCCGUUGCGGGGUGCCGCCAUCUUCGAAGGUGGAAAUGGCCAGAUACCGUGAG
Molecule: long non-coding RNA, 41622 nt
Filed under: Hordeum vulgare
Lineage: Eukaryota; Viridiplantae; Streptophyta; Magnoliopsida; Poales; Poaceae
Description: long non-coding RNA (HVUL_LNC002417)
Source: RNAcentral